This 109-nucleotide small nuclear RNA is filed under the name Vulpes vulpes (red fox). Lineage: Eukaryota; Metazoa; Chordata; Mammalia; Carnivora; Canidae. The record is from RNAcentral.
GUUCUCACUUUUUCGGCAGCAUAUAUACAAAAUUGGAAUGAUGCAGAGAAGUUUAGCAUGGCCUAUGCACAAGGAUGACAUAAAAUAAAAUCAGGUCAUAGCAAUUCUC